Molecule: unclassified non-coding RNA, 186 nt
Filed under: Staphylococcus capitis
Lineage: Bacteria; Bacillati; Bacillota; Bacilli; Caryophanales; Staphylococcaceae
Description: T-box
Source: RNAcentral
GUGUUUUUUAAGCAAAAUGUAGUAUUUAAAGAAUAGGUAGCAACAGAAAGUUAGUGGUUGAUGUAAACUAACACCUACUUUGAAGAAAUUGGGUUUUGUGAAAUAAAAAAUAAAUACAAAGAGUGAGUUUUGAAUAUUACGAAUAUUCGGCUAAUUAAGGUGGUACCACGCGUCAGCGUCCUUUUU